CCUCUCUCUCAGUUUGGAAGAGAUUAAGAAAUACGUGUGUCUUGCGCUUUCUGGUUGAUUACAGAACAGCUUGACCCGAUAAAUGGAAAUUUUAAGGCGCUUACAGGGCCUGGAAAGAAACGCCAAAGCCAAUUUGAGCACAGAACAAAAAUACCAUCUGGGUUUCGGUGACAAUGAGUAACACCACUGGCUCUUCUGAGCUCAGACAAUUAUUCUAUAAAAAAACAUUUUUUAAGGCUGCAUGGUUAAAAUGGCAAAAGAUGUUUAAGGAUGAAUAAAGAGACAGAAAUAAUCCCACAGUCGUGCAUUCACACAGCCUGGUGCACGGAGGGGGGUGUUCAUCAUGUCUGGAAACAGAGGUUGAGCAUCGAGAAUGUCAUCGAGGACAUCGUCAACCUGUAAAGGUCAUCCUCCGUGUGAUCAGAGUUUAUGGCCGCCCCACGUACCCAGGAACUGAAGAAGCGAUGGCGGAGGAUGGAGAUGGAGGAAGUCCAUGAGCCAGUACCCUGGGCACUUCCUCAGAAUACUUGAGCUCUUACUCAAACCGUCAUGCAUCAAUGGGGGUGCCAGAGUCUUUUGUGCCCCACAUCUUAGUCUUCCCAGGAGAGUCCUUCCUGUCCUCAAACCACGUGGACUAGAAUUCACUGCCACCAUACAGCGUCUCAGCCUGCCUGUCAGUCAGCAUCCACCUCUGCCAGUUCUGGGACCUCUGCCUCCCCCAGUCCCUACCCAGGCCAGCCCUGGAAGAACAGAGGUUUCUCUCUUCAAAGCUAGAAGCCAUGGCCUAUGGCUGUGGGCUGAAGGAAAGAGCAGGAGACAGGCGUGUUGAAGAAGGAAGGCACAGGCCUUCUGGUUCUCUGUGGCGUGUGAGCAAGACGGGAGACGCGCACGUCCCUGCUCGUGGGGUUACCAUGACAGCUGACGUGGAUGGAGCCUUCAGAUGUACCCAGCACAGCCCCGAGCGCUUUCUCAUGUGCUGUUUCGUUUAAAAAUAAUCACCCACCGGUUAGACUCCUUCCCACGCAUAGAACCACGAAACCCGUGCACUUCACAUACUGGCUGGACACAGUCCUGGUUUCUCUGUUUCCCAGACCUGCCCAACACACACGCACACACGCACACACACACAUUUUUCUGCCCUAAUUCCUUUCCUCCCAUUCUUGAACCAAAUUGAAUGAGGCUGUCACCUCCAUCGCUCCCCCAAAACAAAUCUCAAGAUCACUAAUGAUGCCCCUGUUGCUUUACACAGUGCUCUAUUCUCAGUCGGCCUCUUUCUUGGCUCUGCAGCACUGGACACCAUGACUCACUCCUACCUUCUAGAAUGCUUUGGUUUAUCGACCACUCCUGGCCGAUAUGAUGCCUUUGUGUGAACUAGGAAAAGCUGCUGCUCUGGGCACGUGCAGCUCCAUGAGCAUCCAGCCCACAAGCAGAGCUAGAGCAGCCCCCUUCAGUCAGAACCUUUAUGCAGUGCACACACUGCACAACAGUACAGGGCAGUUCUGCAGGGCUACAGGCUGAGGAUGGGCCAUCUGAUAGGGAAGAGUCCAGAGGCACAGAACAGGGAACUCUGGCAGACUCCAGAAAAGGGGAGCGCGGAGAGAUUCCAGAAGACUCCAGGACUGUGGCCACCUGAGCGUUCAGACCUUCUGGAGGAGACCUUGUUUUGCUCUCCUUUUUGAUUUUCUCUUUAAGUCUGGUUUAUGGAGGCAAAAUUCAUCCGUUUUAGGUGUACAGCUCCGUUAGGGUUGACAACGCAGCCAGCCAUAUUGUCACCAUCAGCACCCAGAGAACAUACCCGUCACGCCAAAGAGGUCCCUCAUGUCCCUUUGCUGUCAAUCCCCUCCUGCAGCCUCAGGACCCCUGAUUUAUGGCCUAUAGUUUUGCCUUUACCAGAUGUCUGUAAGUAGAGUUAUACAGCGUGUCGCUUUUAGCGUCUGACUUCUUUAACUUGGCAUGUUGCUCCUGAGCUCCUCCACGUUCUUGUGUCAGGAAUUGUUUACUGCACAGUAGUAUUCCCUUGUGUGGACGUGGCACUUUCAUCCAAGCACCAGGUGAUGGCCAUUUGAGUUGUUCCCAGUUUGGGUGAUAAAGCUGCCAGAUGUUUUCUUUUCUCUUAGGUAAAUACCUAGGGGUGACCUUGCGGGGUCAUGGAGGAAAGGUAUGUGUGAGAAACCGCCCAGUUGUCUCCCAAAGUGUUUGCACCAUUUUCCAUUCCCACCAGCGAUGGGUGAGAAUUCCAGUUGCUCCGAAUCCUUGCUGACAUUUGAUGUUGUCAAUAUUUUUUUGUAUGUGUGUGAGGAAGACUGGCCCUGAGCCAGCAUCAGUGCCCAUCUUCCUCUAUUUUGUAUGUGGAAUUCCACCACAGCGUGGCUUGAUGAGCGAUGUAUAGGUCCAUGCCUGGGAUCAGAACCUGUGAACCCUGGGCUGCCAAAGCAGCGCACGGGAACUUAACCACUAUGCCACGGGGCUGGCCCCUGUUGUAUUUUUAAUUUUAGCCAUUCUCCUAAGUGUGUAGUGACAUCUCAUUAUCAUUUUAAUUUUCAUUUCCCCAGUGGCUAAUGAUGUGGAGCAUCUUUUGGUGCUUAUUUGGGGCCUGUAUCUCUUCUUUGGUGAAGUGUCUGCUCAGCCCAUUUUCAGAAAUGGAGGUGCUGCUCUUUCUUAUCCCAGCUGCUGAUGAGUCGGGGGAUGGGGCAUACGUGGGCAGCAUCUCAACAUGUGGGUUCUAACCCUUUUCCUUCAUGUCACCUCUGAUGAUGCCCUGGGGGAGCCCUGAGCUUCUGUAGGACACACGUGCCUCCCCGCCCCCCGAGAAGCCUUCUUUGGGUAAAAGACCCCAGUGCUGUGGGCGCGUGGAUCCGUUGUCAGGGAAAAAAAAUAAUAAGGAAAAACGCAAAGAUAAAUGAAGAAGGCAUGCCCUUGGUGACAACACAGGUUUACAGCAGCCGCAGCAAAGGCUGGGAGCCCCUUGCACGGUGCAUGGUUGCCACAUCUUAAAGUCUGAGAAACCCACGUAUCAUCGUCUUUAAUGGGUCUUUGCAGAUGUCAUCAAGUUACGAGAAGGCCAUGUGACGACGGGGCAGAGACUGGACAGAUGCAGCCACAAGCCAAGGGUUGCCAGAACCCACAGAAGCUGGAAGAGGCAGGAAGGACCCUCCCCUGGAGCCUUCAGAGGGAACACGGCCCUGCUGACACCUUGAUUUUGGACGUCUGGCCCCCAGAAUGGGCGGCUGCACCUCGAUGCCAGCGUGGGGGCUUCACUCUGCGCUGUCCUUGGACCCCCCCCUUCCCCAGAGGCUGAUGACCAUGGAGGGUCUUCUCCACCCCUAGAUGAGCCAGCUCCCAAUCCCAGAGCUCCAGGACCUGACUCCUGCUGGCUUAUCCGCCGCCCCACCAAGGCCCUAGAUGCCACCCGCCCAGGCCCCUCUCUGCUGCCCCCCUUUUGCAGUCUUCGACUUUGGCUCUCUUGUCCUCUGACCAUGUCUUGCCUCAAACCCAAGGCCUUCCCCACACCCAGGUGCAUCCACUGAUGGCGACGGGUGAAUGCCUAAGUCCACCACACGUCCCCGAUCUCCCAGGACACUCACAACUUCACGUAGUCUCCUCCAUUUUCACAAGUCACAUGUCCCAAGAAUUGCUGGUUUCAGCAUUCAAAGCGCCCCUCCUGGACUUCUGCCUGCUCUGGAGCGCUGCCCACGCAGACCGUGGCAGGACUCGGAACGGGUUUAGAGAGCACCAUAGGCAGAC
Molecule: long non-coding RNA, 3744 nt
Filed under: Equus caballus (horse)
Lineage: Eukaryota; Metazoa; Chordata; Mammalia; Perissodactyla; Equidae
Description: lncRNA (ENSECAG00000052101.1)
Source: RNAcentral